AUGCAGUUUAAAGCCAUCCCCUCCCUGCUCCCUCUCAUGCUCCGACACCCCAAAAUUGUGGCUCCCUGGGGUGUUCAGAGCUGGGUGAGGGCGGUAGCAGCGGGAGGGCACCCUGCUCCUUUCCCCCAUCCUCGGGGCCCUCUCCUUGUCCCGUUCCUCUCCUCACUCCCCUUUCCUCGCUCCCGCUUUCCCUUAUUUCCUCCCUGUUUCCCGUCGCAUUCCUGCCUUCUUCUGCCUUUCUUCUUCCACAUCCUCCCCGUCUCCCUCGCCUUGCCACCCCUCCCGCUUCUCCCACCUCCUUGUUCCCCCUCUUACCGCCCUCUCCCCCCUCCCUUCCCUUCCCCUCCGAAACACCCUCCGGCUCUCCGCACGUCGAAAUCAAAACUUUCAGGCUUUACCUCUUACGAACCGGGGCGACUUUUUUGUGUUUUUUUUUGUCCCGUCCUCUGGCCGAAAAGUUGGGAGACGCUCCCUGCGCGCCCCUCCAGCCGGCUGGGAGGGCAAGCGGCGGUGCGUCCCAGCGGGGAAAGGGAAGGGGAUGCGUGCCCCCCCUUUUCCCACGCCUGUCCCCCCCAAGGCUGGCUCCCCAAGGCUGCUCUUUGGGUGCCUGACGCCCCGGUGCCACGGGAGCGAGGGAGCGAAGCUGGCGGGGAGGGGACGCGGGAAGGAGGGGGCGGGCUGCGGCACCGCCGAGCCAAUCCUCGCCCCGGCACGGAGACCGGAGAAAAUGAGAUUUAUUCCAACUAUCCAGGACAGAAAACUUCAGGAACUUCUCUGCCUUCCCCCCCCCGGCUCCCCGCCCCACUUCCCCAGUGCCAUUUCCCUUCCUCCGGCGCUGGGCUGCCUCCUGCUUGCCCCGCUCUCUUUCUUCAGCGAAUUUGGGGGAAGGGGAAAAGCCAGGUCUCUGCUAAGCUUGUUGGGAAAACCGGGCAGAAGGAAAGGACUUUGCGUGAUGUGUGUGAAAGCCCUGGUAAUAACACGGGGUUGUCCCAGCCUGUGUCGGAUGGGAAGCCCCCAGCGCCCACGGUACAGCGCUGCCGACUCGAAUGGGGAGAGGGACCCCAAGCCUGGGGGUGCACAGUCACGCCAGGACCCAUGGGUGGUGUAGGGUGA
This 1113-nucleotide long non-coding RNA is filed under the name Anser cygnoides (Swan goose). RNAcentral's name for it is "lncRNA (ENSACDG00005017875.1)". The record is from RNAcentral. Lineage: Eukaryota; Metazoa; Chordata; Aves; Anseriformes; Anatidae.